AGAGCACAUGGAUACAUUUGUGAGAGAAAAAACUCGUUGAAUGCAGUCUUAUCGAGACGUCUAACGGUUGGAACAAACGUGGAAUUCCUUAACCGAGCAGAGUCCACAAAACCCCAUCCAUUUGUCAUGGCAAUUUGAAAAUGCCAGCAGAUCUAUCAGACAUUGAUCAUAAUCAAUGGACAGGUCACCGUAGCCACCCAGAUCCAGUCUGUAUCCAGAUCAGAUGGUGGAGAGAUGACCUCUAC
Molecule: long non-coding RNA, 245 nt
Organism: Cyprinus carpio (common carp)
Lineage: Eukaryota; Metazoa; Chordata; Actinopteri; Cypriniformes; Cyprinidae
Exons: 3
Source: RefSeq, a predicted model, not a curated record